Lolium rigidum is the source of this 894-nucleotide long non-coding RNA. RefSeq lists it as uncharacterized. Lineage: Eukaryota; Viridiplantae; Streptophyta; Magnoliopsida; Poales; Poaceae. The transcript has 3 exons. The record is from RefSeq and is a predicted model, not a curated record.
CUGCCGGAUUCGCCUAGAUUCGCCCGGAGGACGAGAGCAGCAUCCAUGGAUCCCGCGCCUGCCGACGCCAUCGAAGGCCGCUUGUUUGUCGUCCGCUCCGGCGGAAACCCUCGAACCUGCAAUCAUUGGCGCCCGAGCAAAUGGAGGCCUCCUUGAUUUUUCUCCACAGCGCCCAGGCUACGGGGAUGUAUCAGCCGCCAAGAAUUCCCGGUCUUGCCCUCGUCGUUGACUCGUUUACUCGGUUGCCCCUGCUCACGCUGAUCUGCAACACGAGCUGAGAUCGAGAGGAGUAGGGGGCGCUGCUGCUUGGCUCCUCAUCCAUCGAUGGGACAUCGGCAUGUGGUGGUGUGUGGGUGAAGGGGGACAAGGAGAGGCCACAACUGCUGAUUGGUGGCGUGAAGGGGGAGCUGGUGGCCAUGGAAAUUGUGGAGUACCUGCUGGUGACCUUGAUUUGUGAGGAGUGGUCCUUUUUUACAAGCAGAUUUUGUCUGUCACAACACUGGUACACAUAUGAAACCUUCACGCACUCCUAAAAAUGUUUCGAGGGCUAGCCAGUCUAGACUAAUACAGUAAGACAGAGGCUUAAGUAUCAGCUGAAAGACAGUGGAGAUGAAACUUCAUUGCUUGAAGAGUUGGGUGUUAUGGAAGAUAACCCAAUUGCAUCUUAGCUCUCAGAAAUUCAGGAAGAUCGACCGAUGAGUACGAGGAAGAUCCAACUGAAGAUGAUGACAAUGCCUAGCCAGGAUGUAACUAUUACUUUCCGUUUGUUCUUAAACUCCAACUUGUGGUGGAUCUUUGUUUUGCCUUGCUUUUCCUGCCCCCUUUUGAUUGUUUAAGUUCUCUGUAACUUCUGAUCUAUCAUCUGUUCACACCAUGGAGUUCUAGUUCGUCUGA